CCGGGACCAGCUGGGCCUCGCCCCCACUUCCGCUUCCGCCCAGCCGCAGGGCAACCUGGGACGCGUAGUUUCCGCGGCUGGGGCGGGUGUGAUGUCAAGGGGGCGCCGGAAGUGCGGCGGCGGGUCGUCCGCUUUCGGGUUCCCCCGCCCGGACCGGCCCACCCCACUUCCGGGCGGUGCUGCUGCGCCGGGAGCCCGGGGGAGCGUGGAGACGCGGCCCUAGGGCCCUGGCUCCGGCGCCGCCGGCCGUCCACCUGUCCGGGGCAGGCUGUCUGUGCCCGGGGCCUGCGGGGCUGUUCCGCGCUGCUCCCCAGCUCCGGGGGCUGGCUCGCUGAGCUCGGGUCCGGGCCCCUCUUGAAGCACCUUUGACCCUGGCUCCUGCCCCCGUGUUUGCAUCGGUUGCCCCAGGACCCGGCCGGGCGCUCAGGGACCCCCUCCGAGUCCCCCCGCUGACCUCAGAGCGGUGCUGCCGCUCGGGGCGUCGGGCCUGGCGGAGGCUGCUCUGCAGGAUCCUUCAGGACGAUGCUGCACGUGGCGCGAGCUCCUGCAGGAGCUGCCGGCCCAGCGCCACGGUGGUUCUGCACUCAUGGAACAGGCCUGGGCAGAGCGUGGGAUCUCCUGGCUGCAGGCAGACCAGCAGUAUCAAAGAAGGGGGGAGCUGGAAGGGAUGCACAGAGAUCACAUUGUAUCCAGUCUGACCCCUGCCUGAGGCAGAAUCGGCCCCAUCCAGCCCAGCUCAGACAAACCCCAUGUCUGACCUCAGAGCCACACAACAACACAGUCAUUCCUGACAGUUCCAGGCAUCGCCCCUGCUCCGGGAAAGGGAGUGCUGCAGCCACCGACAUUCUGCUUCUAUUAAAAGUUAAUAUACAGUUGUCUUCGGCAGUCCCUUGCAGUCGAGGAUGAUUGUGUUCCAUGAUUUUCUUAUCUGUGGGUCUGAAGAUGGCUGAUGAGGCCAGUCCAGGUUUGACAGACCUGCAGUGUGUAUGCUGUAUGCUCAAGAGACCCCAGGCAGAGGCCGUGUCCCACCUGCCGAGGAAGGCAAACACCCUGCACCCCAAACCGAUCUGACCGGGGGUGGUGGGGAAAUCCCUUCCUGCCCCUAGUGCAGCAUUGGGCUGAGCCUGAGCACAGGGGCAAGAUCCUCCAGCCAGGACUCUGCAAGAUUGGUUCCAGUGGGAGCAUUGACACAGCCAGUCCUCACCCCCAGCCUGGGCCAUACACAGCACCCAGCACUGCUGGGAAAAGGGGAAUAGACCCCUGACACUUGCGCCUCAUACGGCAGCCAGGAAAGCCCAAAAGCCUGGGAAACACCAGACACCUCAGCUCUGCCUUGCAGCCUGCGGACAGCCAGCAGGAUCCACCCAUCACCCCCUCUUGCUGCACUGCCAGAGCUCCCCUGUCCAUGUCCCCUCGACAAACGUAUCCCAGCUGCUUUCUUCUGAGCUGGGUGUGGAGCUCUGCUUCAACCUGCUAUCAUAAGCAGGGCCCUCUGCAGUACCCACCUGCUGCAAGUUGUAGAGAUCUUUAUCUCCCAGCAGUCUCUGUGGGGGGGGGGGGCGCAUCCCUAGGCUUCAGACGAACAGCAGUCCAGGGAGGCCUUCCUCCCAAAUGAGCAGAGAGCUGCCAAGCUGGAAGAAGCAGCAACAGCUCUGAGGCCUGUGAAGGAGCCAGUAGCUGCUGAAACAGGUGGGUGCAGGGAGCCACUUGGAAGGACAGAGGCUUCCUGGGUGCAGUGAACGGCUGGUUCACAUCUGCCUGCACCGCUGAGGCUGUUGGGAACAUCCCUGCCCUGGAC
Crocodylus porosus (Australian saltwater crocodile) is the source of this 1798-nucleotide long non-coding RNA. NCBI's taxonomy places the organism in Eukaryota, Metazoa, Chordata, Crocodylia, Crocodylidae. The record is from Ensembl.